CGUGGCUUUGCGCAGGGUUAUGUGCUGCAGGUUGUACCCAGACAGAUAAUUAGCCAAGUGGCAUCACGAUGCUAAUAGAGAGCGCUUUUAGCCUCGACUGUGCCUCCUUCUCCGCAGUGGUGCUGUGCCACCCUUUGCCCUCCUGCAGCUCACCGUGGCCCCGUGCACAGCCAGGCACCGCACGGCCGGGUACCGAGCGGUAAUUACACACCACAGGAGGGUUUGUUUAUAGAGGAGGGGUGAUUCACAGCGCCUGGAAAGGGUUAACAGCCCAAAAU
This 278-nucleotide long non-coding RNA is filed under the name Gallus gallus (chicken). The record is from RNAcentral. Lineage: Eukaryota; Metazoa; Chordata; Aves; Galliformes; Phasianidae.